Molecule: long non-coding RNA, 311 nt
Filed under: Carica papaya (papaya)
Lineage: Eukaryota; Viridiplantae; Streptophyta; Magnoliopsida; Brassicales; Caricaceae
Description: long non-coding RNA (CPAP_LNC014278)
Source: RNAcentral
AACAUUGAUGGCCAUCAUUAUUGAAAUUCUAGUCUGAACUUUUAAUUUGAUAACCUAUGUUGUGUAUUUCAAGUUUUAGUUCCUGAAAUGUGGCUUGCUAGAGGGGAAAAAUUUGUGACGCCAGUAAAGAGACUCUGAUGCAGAAGUCAAAAUCAAGGACUGAAUUAAAGAGAAUCAAUGUGAAUGGAUGAAAGUCUUUAUGAGGUCUCAAAAAACUUACAUGAGGGAAAAAAGACACUAUUUAUACCCUGAGAGAGGGUGAUUAGACGCUUUAUGAGAGCAUUAAGAGCUUGAACUCUAUGGCUAUGGAA